Molecule: ribosomal RNA, 252 nt
Filed under: uncultured bacterium
Lineage: Bacteria
Description: partial 16S ribosomal RNA
Rfam family: Bacterial small subunit ribosomal RNA
Source: RNAcentral
UACGUAGGUCCCGAGCGUUGUCCGGAUUUAUUGGGCGUAAAGCGAGCGCAGGUGGUUUAUUAAGUCUGGUGUAAAAGGCAGUGGCUCAACCAUUGUAUGCAUUGGAAACUGGUAGACUUGAGUGCAGGAGAGGAGAGUGGAAUUCCAUGUGUAGCGGUGAAAUGCGUAGAUAUAUAGAGGAACACCGGUGGCGAAAGCGGCUCUCUGGCCUGUAACUGACACUGAGGCGCGAAAGCGUGGGGAGCAAACAGG